This 497-nucleotide ribosomal RNA is filed under the name uncultured bacterium. RNAcentral describes it as "partial 16S ribosomal RNA". It matches the Rfam family "Bacterial small subunit ribosomal RNA", at positions 28 to 507 of the family's 1533-position model. The record is from RNAcentral.
GAUGAACGCUGGCGGCGUGCCUAAUACAUGCAAGUCGAGCGAACAGACGAGGAGCUUGCUCCUCUGACGUUAGCGGCGGACGGGUGAGUAACACGUGGAUAACCUACCUAUAAGACUGGGAUAACUUCGGGAAACCGGAGCUAAUACCGGAUAAUAUAUUGAACCGCAUGGUUCAAUAGUGAAAGACGGUUUUGCUGUCACUUAUAGAUGGAUCCGCGCCGCAUUAGCUAGUUGGUAAGGUAACGGCUUACCAAGGCAACGAUGCGUAGCCGACCUGAGAGGGUGAUCGGCCACACGGGAACUGAGGCACGGUCCAGACUCCUACGGGAGGCAGCAGUAGGGAAUCUUCCGCAAUGGGCGAAAGCUUGACGGAGCAACGCCGCGUGAGUGAUGAAGGUCUUCGGAUCGUAAAACUCUGUUAUUAGGGAAGAACAAAUGUGUAAGUAACUAUGCACGUCUUGACGGUACCUAAUCAGAAAGCCACGGCUAACUACGUG